AACGUGUUUUACACUUUAAUUACCCACCCUGCCACUCCUAAACUCCUCCACCUCUUCUGAGAAAAACUGCUUAGACUGAUCGCACGCACGCCGCGCACCACUUCCUCCUCGCACGUUCGCAUGCACAAGAGCGCUCCAUCCCCAACCUCCCUCCUCUCCCGAUCGGCGCCUCACCUCCCCGUCCCCGCAUCCCCGGUGCCAAGCCGCCCUCCCUGCACCCGCAUCGCCGCCCCUAGCAUGUCGUCCGCUCCGCACGCAUACCACCGAUGACCCUGACCGUCGUGAACCCGAUCUGGCCGGGCAUCCAGGGGAACGCCGGCAGUGAGGUCCUGGAGGGGGGCGGCUUCUUCCUCCCGUCGCUCUCCCACCGCUCCUUCCCGUCGCUCUCCCACCGCUCCUUCCCGGCGCCCACCCACGCCUGGUCCAGCCGCAUCUGGGCGCGCACCGGCUGCGCGACAGGCGACUGCGGCGGGCGGCUCCAGUUCUCCACCGCAGGUCUCCCUCCACCACGGCGGCAACGAGCAAUCGUCCUACGGGGUGAGCGUGGUGGACGGGUUCAACGUGGGCCUCUCCGUGACCCCGCACAAGGGCCGCGACAACUGCCCCGUCUUGGCCUGCUGCAAGGACCUGACCCAGAGCUGCCCGGGCGAGCUGCCUGUGCGUACAUGAUGUUCAUCCUCGGCUUGUCACACACGCAAUCUUCUCGGCUUAAUUCCAUCUCUUCCCCAAUUGGAAACAAAUCAGCCUGAGACUCAGCCUUGCCAAGGUCGAGAACGCCUCGCAGAUAUGUAUGAGGACGUCUAAUCGAGAUUUCCGGCUGCAGGGCGCAAUUAGUGGAAGAAGGUAUUACGAUUUUCCAGAUUGUGAUUAAUCGCUUCUCAACUCAAAAAUUCCCUCUUCUAUAGUCUUGUGAGAUCGUUCAUUCAUUCAUAAAGAUCAUCCUCAUACAUAUCUCUUUCUCACUCUGAUUUCAUGUUUUGAUUGGGAUUCGAAAAGAGGAACUGAGAUGUAUGUUCGUGACUUGUAAGCAGCAACAAAAUUUAGCAAUUUAUAUUUUUCUAGCCAUCCAAAUAUCUUGCUCCAUACCUUUCUUAGAAUUUUUUUAUUUGAUCAGCAGUGUUCUUAAUUACUUGUACCCUAUAUAUUUGUGUGCUAAUUAGCAAGAUUGUUAGUAUAUCCAUCUGGUAAUGAGAAUGAAAACUGGCAUAUGACUUUACUGAGGCCUCGAAAGGAGCAUAAACAAUUUGUUAGAAUACAGACGAGUACUUCUACUGCUAGGAAUUCAGAACAACUAGCUUAGUUACUGCUGAGGAACAACCUAAUGAAAAAUUAUAGGAUGACAAUAUAUUGAGUAAGCACAAAACUGUUACUUAUUCACCUAAUAAAAAACAUGCCAAUUGACUGCAACUUUUACUGUGAAUGUUUAUGAACCCACUCUUCUGAAUAACUAAGAUGAUAAGGCAACAAAAUUAUAGUGUAUCGAGUAUUUAUUUGCAACUGAAAUAGAAAAAACAGCAUAUGUUUCUGUGGCCUUAGGGGUUAGGGCCCCUUUUUGUUGUCUUUCCCCAGGCCCCUAAAUUCUCAGGACCGGCCCUGGCUCCAAGUCCGUGGCCGACCUGGUUACCACCGUCCGGAUGUUCAAGGUGGUCGUCCCAAGAGCUCUAAGGUGUGACCGCCACACCAUCGGCUGAUCCACAAUGGCCAAAUCUUGUAGAAUGAGAACAUCCUAGCCCGAUACGUUAACUGGAGAUGUUCCGUCAUUCAAACAUGUUGAUGGCCAAGCAAAAUAUUCAGCCUGAAUAAGUCUUUGCUGUAUACUCUAAACACUUACAGCAAGAUGAAGCUGGCACAGUGAGGCUAGAGACGGGUCACAUUUGGUCGCACAUGGGAGUUGUUCUUGUGAACGUGGGUGAUGAGAUUGACACAAAGCUGCCGAGGAAGGAGCGGGUGACAUUUGUUUCUAAAGGGUAUCGAGUUUCAUAUGUUUUUAUCUCCUUUGUUAUUCUGAUUACGAGUCGCAUUACCAAUCAUUCAACAAUUAUAGUUUGAUAUUUUAGUUCCAUCUCAAUCAUUCAUUUAUGCCUGAUCAGCCAUGAACGUGCAACUACAUUAAAGUUUGCAUUAAAAUUUUGUUUGCAAAUAGAGGUCAGCGAAGCCUUUUCUUGGCCCAGACAGACCUGCACCGCCCGCCCACCUGACAGGAGCUAUAACUAUUCUACAUAUUUAGGAGACAUUUAAUAUUGUGUGCGGCGUGCAGGCUAUUCAUUUAGGACAUGAUUUCCUUUCAAAAGGUAUAUAUUUUGGCCAGAUUUUUUUACACUGAGAGGCUUAAAUUCUCUGGAUAUAUCUCACUUUGGGGUUUGUAUUUUGCUAUCCUCGACCAUGAUAAUUAAUGAUAUAUUCUGUGGCAUAGAGAUUAUGCCUCCUGUAUGUAGUGACGCAAAGGACCCGUGUACACGCGUCACAUAGAGGAGGAGGCUGAUAGCAGGCAAGCGUUUCCCAAAUAUCAUAUUAUAGUACUAGCUUUCUAGAAUUAAAUGGAACUACAUAUUGUUUUCAACUUCUAAGCAAUGUAUUUAUAUGCCUAUUUGACAAAUUCCCCUUUAAUCUGAAUCACAAGAAACAGAGAGUAUACAGAGAGUGCGUGGGAGAAAUUUACGUGCCAUCAUGAGGAAAGAGGGAACAACCUACGGUAGUAUGUUAUACUGACCAGUCUAAAUUGUAGUUCUAUUUUCUUUUUCAACCAGAUUUUUUUCUUGGGAUCAAUAUAUGUUGUAUACUGAAAUCAUGUUGUAUUAAGAAGUAUCAUGACAAAAUUAUCUUCUCUAAUUACUUGUUAUGUUUGACAAUGGGAUGUUGGGGGAUUAAUCAGUAGAUUCAAUGUUCUUAUUUUACAAACUAUCGGAGACCUAAUGGAUGGAACAUAUAUAUUAUUGUAUUUACGCAGCAACAUGACUCCACCCUCUGCUGUUCUAUUUUAAAAAUACAUCUUAAGUGAUAAUUAAUUUGUUGUCCCGCAAAGCAAUUUUACGGGCCCGGUUGAGUCAUUUUGCAAGUUUUUGUUUGAAAUUGUACCGGCGCUGCAAGUUUAUGUCUUAAUAGUGCAAUUAACUCUUAUUUUUAUGCCUGAUGUAUAAGUACAGAUUUGUUAUAUUUUAAUAUUUCAUGAUUUUGACAACCUGAGCAACCAUCAUUGGUAUCCACUUUCAAGAAUUACUAGCAUUGGUACCUGAUGCUUCAUCUUGUUGCAGUGUUGAUUCUAUAUCUCGAGCAAAGCAGAUUCUUACCUCGAUACCUGCAAGAGCAAGAGAAGCAUACAACCAUAGCCAGGUAAUCGUGUCAUUCACAGAUCAUUGGUGACAGAGGCAUAUUUUCUUUAAAGGUGCCUCUGUUCAUAACAUGUCUGAUUAUGUGUCGCGGGAUUAUAUAUUGGGGGCACUAGCUAGCAAAACAGUAAUUCUUGUAACCCAUCAAGUCGGGUUCAUACCAGCUGCUGACUUCAUACUGGUAAUAACAUUAUCCUUACAAUCGAAGCACUACUUUUUAGAGGCUAAUGCACAAGGUAUAUAUGCUGUUUCAAAUUUAUCAGCAAGUUAAGUUGUUCAAUUCGAUGUGUUGUUUAUGCAUGUUUCCUGAUGAGAAUAGCAAGUUAAGUUGUUCAAUUCGAUGUGUUGUUUAUGCAUGUUUCCUGAUGAGAAUAAUACAACAGAUUCUGCAUGAAAGUUUUGCCAUCUUCUGUAGUAUUUCUCAUUAGAAUGUUCAUGGGAUAAUGGGCCCUUGGUCUCUCAUUUGUGCUUUUUUUUCUCAUGGCACAUGCUCAAGGAUGGUCAUAUCGCCCAAGAUGGAAAAUAUGAGGAUCUUCUCCAAGCUGGAACUGAGCUCAAUGCACCAAGAACAAAAUCAAUUGAAGCAACACUUCAUGUAUAAUGUAUUGUGAACCUUGGAUUGAGCUCAUGUGUGUGGUUUAUGUAUUGUGAGCCUUGGAUUGAGGUCAUGUGUGAGGCUAAUGUAUUGUGAGCCUUUUACUUUGUAAUAUGUGAUAAUGAUGUGACAGGCUCAUGGAUUGUGGACACCAAAUUUAUGUGGCAAUUCUGUAAUGUGGAGUACCCAUGAUGACAUGACAAUGCCUAAAUGAUGCCAAUUUUUCUGUCUAA
This is an RNA transcript of Triticum aestivum (bread wheat), 4154 nucleotides long. RefSeq lists it as uncharacterized. NCBI's taxonomy places the organism in Eukaryota, Viridiplantae, Streptophyta, Magnoliopsida, Poales, Poaceae. The transcript is spliced from 4 exons. The record is from RefSeq and is a predicted model, not a curated record.